UUUAUACUUUGCCUCUCCCUCUAAAAAUUUAAUUUGCAAUGGCGACCCUAAUGUAUCACAUGUUUUCAUCGUCUUCACUGUUAUCUCUGGGAUUCUACCACCUCAUCUGCACCACCCGGAACCGCCUCAAAUCCGCCGGAGACUACGUCGCCAAACCCUACCACCCUCUCUCCUUCAUAUCUCAACCGCAUCUCCGCCGUCUACCUCUUUAUCUCCUCCUUCUCUGCCUCCUCAUUUCUCUGAUCCAUCAAUCACUCGUCUCUUUGGAUGCCGAUCCUCUCCUCAAAGGUCAUACUCCGGUGCAUCGUUUCACCUCUCUCCAAGCCGCUGCUGUUGUUUUCUCGUUUCUAAUACUCGUUGUUUUUCUCCUUAUCUCUGAGUCAACUUCUCUUCUCCCGCUUCCUCCCGAUCUGUUCUUCGCUUUAGCUGCUGCACUUUUCUACCUACAGUAUUCGGUAUCCGAUUCUUCUGCUUCUGUUCAAACCUCCGAUCUCCAGGCUAAAUGUGAUUCCGUUUCAGCUCGCAUUUCUGCACUCUCCGCGUUACUUUGUCUCGUGAUUGCUGUUCAACCUAGGCUUUUUCUGGCUGAUGUUGCGUUAGCUGCUUCUAUCUGUCUCCAGGGACUAUGGGUUCUACAGACGGGACUUUCGCUUUAUGUUGAUGCGUUCAUACCUGAGGGUUGUCAUAAGUUGUUGGAUGUUGUUACUGGGGUAGAAGGCUCAACCAAAUGCGAUUUGGAGGACUCUAAGCUCAGGGCUAUUGCUAUACUUGAUUUGGCUUUUGUAGUUCAUGUGAUGUUUGUAUUGCUCAUUGUUAGUGUCACUUAUGCUGCCGUUGCUAAAACUAUUGGUAUCAGGAGAUUUGGUUCUUAUGAGGCUCUUUCCAAUGCUGACUCGAGUCAUAUCCAAAUGAAGGCUAUGACGGGAACUCAAGCUUGAUUAUCGUCGCAUUAGGUUAUAGGAAGGGGGCGGCAUUACAUUCAGAUUAGUCCAUCAUUCUCAGCUGUCAUAUCUCAAUCAAGAAAAACAACAAUCUAAAAACGAGCUAAGCCCGCCAAGAAGGCUUCCCAAAGCAGAUAUAUAUAGCUAAGUUCGGUUUUGUUUUUGCAGAGUUCAAUCUUCUUGAUGGAGUAGAGGCAGUUUCUUUUGUAUGGACCCAAUACUUUACAUUAGACUGUAUUUUUAUUUGGACAAAUGUUGUAUGAAAUGUCAAUGGGGGUAUAAUACACACUGGUUAACCACAAUAUGGUUUAAAUAUUUGUAAUUUAAAGUUCA
RNAcentral lists this unclassified non-coding RNA (1274 nucleotides) under Hevea brasiliensis (rubber tree). Lineage: Eukaryota; Viridiplantae; Streptophyta; Magnoliopsida; Malpighiales; Euphorbiaceae. The record is from RNAcentral.